Molecule: unclassified non-coding RNA, 409 nt
Filed under: Hevea brasiliensis (rubber tree)
Lineage: Eukaryota; Viridiplantae; Streptophyta; Magnoliopsida; Malpighiales; Euphorbiaceae
Source: RNAcentral
AAUUAUAGAAUAAAAUUCCCACCUACUCCAAGUUUGCAAGAGUUCAUACUUGUUUUAUUAUGUUAAAUUUUGUGGUGAUGACAGUCAUUGACUGUAAAAGUAUACUCAUUCCUUCCAUCUUCUCUGUACUCUAGUAUUACUGCUUCUGAUCUUAUCCACAUCAGAUGCAGCAAAGCUGCUGUUUUUGUUUUCAAUUCAUUAUCACAAUGGUGCGAGUGCUUCUUAUGAACUAGGCAGUUUUCAAGUUUGGUGCAUUAUAAUCUAUAACUUGAUGUUUAACCCAGAAAAACAUAGUGCACAUUCACACACAUGUAUACUUAAUUUUAUUUACAAAUUUAAUUCAUAUCAUAUGUGCAAUUGACAACAUGCUGAUUAAAUUCCUUACAGGAUCCAUAUAUACUGUGCUGGG